GUUGCUCUGCUGCAUGAGAGGGCACACCAUACCACGUCUUUGGCUCUCCCCAAUGCAGGUAGUUGAUGGAAUAGCUCCAGUGGUCUUCAAUAUGCCAGCAAAAUGAGGAGAAGCACAUCCCCACAUACAGCCAAGGUACCUUCAUGCCAGAGAUAUCUGCAUUAAUGUGAGCAAGGACUGAUUGUUCUAGAAUUGGCAUGUUAUUCAAAUUCCAACCAGAAAGUGCAUAAUCCUCCUCCUCUGGCAUCAGCUUUCGUCGGCCAUCUUUCACCGGAAAGCCACUUCCAAAGUCCUUGGAUGAUAUAUCAGCUCCAUAUUCUACAAUAACAUCUUCUUCUAUGCUGCUUACCAAUCUCCAGAAUUCUUUCUCUACCAG
RNAcentral lists this long non-coding RNA (376 nucleotides) under Gallus gallus (chicken). The record is from RNAcentral. Lineage: Eukaryota; Metazoa; Chordata; Aves; Galliformes; Phasianidae.